GACGAACGCUGGCGGCGUGCCUAAUACAUGCAAGUUGAGCGCUGAAGGUUGGUACUUGUACCAACUGGAUGAGCAGCGAACGGGUGAGUAACGCGUGGGGAAUCUGCCUUGAGCGGGGGACAACAUUUGGAAACGAAUGCUAAUACCGCAUAAAAACUUUAAACACAAGUUUUAAGUUUGAAAGAUGCAAUUGCAUCACUCAAAGAUGAUCCCGCGUUGUAUUAGCUAGUUGGUGAGGUAAAGGCUCACCAAGGCGAUGAUACAUAGCCGACCUGAGAGGGUGAUCGGCCACAUUGGGACUGAGACACGGCCCAAACUCCUACGGGAGGCAGCAGUAGGGAAUCUUCGGCAAUGGACGAAAGUCUGACCGAGCAACGCCGCGUGAGUGAAGAAGGUUUUCGGAUCGUAAAACUCUGUUGGUAGAGAAGAACGUUGGUGAGAGUGGAAAGCUCAUCAAGUGACGGUAACUACCCAGAAAGGGACGGCUAACUACGUG
This 496-nucleotide ribosomal RNA is filed under the name uncultured bacterium. RNAcentral's name for it is "partial 16S ribosomal RNA". It matches the Rfam family "Bacterial small subunit ribosomal RNA", at positions 28 to 507 of the family's 1533-position model. The record is from RNAcentral.